CCUCCCCUUCCCCCGGAUGCGGCCGGGCCGCGGGCCGGGAUGGCGCUGCCCACACCGCGCUACGGGCCCCUGGGCCCGCGGGGGCCGUUCCGGGACGUGUACGAGCCGGCCGAGGACACCUUCCUGCUGCUCGAUGCGCUGGAGCGGGACGCGGGCAGGCUGCGGGAGGCUGGAGUGGAGAUCUGUCUUGAAAUAGGAUCUGGAUCUGGUGUGGUUUCAACAUUUCUGGCUUCUUCCAUCCUCGGCCCCAGUGCACUGUACAUAUGCACAGAUAUCAACCCCAUGGCAGCUUACUGUACCCAGGAGACAGCUCUGCUUAACAAUGUUCACCUGCAGCCUGUCAUUACUGACUUGGUCAAAGGAUUAUCCCCAAGAUUAAAUGGGAAUGUUGAUCUACUGCUGUUUAACCCACCAUAUGUGGUAACACCUUCUGAAGAGGUGAAAAGCCAUGGAAUAGAGGCAUCCUGGGCUGGGGGCAAACAGGGCAGAGAAGUAAUGGAUAGAGUUUUCCCAUUAGUACCAGACCUGCUUUCACCAGGAGGAUUAUUCUACUUGGUCACUAUUAAGGAAAAUAAUCCAGGUGGUCACUGUCCUUGGACAUUCAAAUAUGCCAAACCAGGUUUAACAUGAUGAAAUUCUGGAAACAAUGAAGAAAAGUGGCUUAAAAGGCACACAAGUACUUUCCAGGCAAGCAGGACAAGAGAUGCUGACAAUCCUCAGAUUUAAGAAGUCUUGAUAACUUCUCUUCACCUGCCAGGAUCAGCAUUCUCAGCACGGAUCACUUUGGCCAUGGUUAAGGACCAGAGUCUUCCAUGUCUCUCUGACCUUCAGAGAAGAAGAAAGAGCCUGGUUAAAAUACACAGAUGCUCAAGAGUUCACCACAAAAGCAUUUGGAGGAAGUUUGGAUCUGUGCAGAGAUGGAAAUACAGUGGCACUUUAUGCAAUGCAAAAUGUGAAGGCAGAGUUGUUUCACUUGUUCUCACAUACCUGUCAAAUAUUUUGCUGCUGUACUACCCAGGGUACUGAACUUCUCUUCCAACAUAAGAAGAUAAUUCAGCAGCAGGCAAGGAGGAUUCUUCAAUUCUUCAAUCCCUUGUAACGAGCACAACAGUUCUGCAACUCAUUGAACACCUUCCCUGAGCUUCAGAGAAGGCUUCUCAAGGAACAGUGGAAAAGUUUGUUUUAAUGAUUGGCUGCAUUUUUCCUGUUUGCAGGAAACCACAGAGUGAGACACAGCAUUCUGAGAAUGGGCUCCAGGAAGUCUGCUGAAAAUUACCUUUUAACACUGCAUGAAGGAGGCUUUAGUGUCUUAAAGGUACAGCAAUGUUCCAGUGUCCCAGCAGCUCCUUGCCUGUCACUGGUGAUCACAGAGCUCAGGAUUUGCUGCUGCACCAGCCAAGGUGGCCCCUGCAGCUUGACUCCUGUAAUUCUCUGUUAAAGGAGCGAUCAGCUCCUUCAUUUUGAUGCAAGUCCUUCACAACAUGAGAUUCUUUGCAUCUCCCCACUUUUCUUUCUGCAAUUUCAGUUUCAGGAGAUGAGCUGAGCCUUGUUAAACCAAACCACGCAUCUUGAGCCAGGUUCUAAAUUGUAGGCUGAGCUUGGGUGCUCUCACAAGGGGGCUCAGUUCAUUCAGUCCAGAGCUGGUUAAAGCUCCACUCGGGGUUUAUUGUCUGUAAAACACUUCCCUAAGUGAAACCAUGGGUAUUGUAGGUGUUGGAUUUGUCUUGGGGUAAUGACAGGCUUCAGAAAUAAGGGAAGGGAGGAAGCAAUUUAAAGCUAAUUAUAGAAGAAAUAAAGUGAGAAGGUGUCAAUUACUGCAGUGAAAUCCAAUGCUGAAUUUGAGCUAUUUUGUACACUGGAGGACAGAUUAAAAAACCACUUGAGGCAAACCAAUACACAAACCCCUCCUAAGAACCUCUUAAGUCCUAAAUACUUCUCUCCAGCUCUGAACAGAACUACUGAACAAUAUCUUCAAUUGAGCUGCAGUAGCUCUCUGUAUUCCAACUCUCAUCCUGCACUUUCUGCUUCUACCUGAGAUGUGCUUUUGGAUAUGAAAGAGGUGGCCUCUACCACCACAUGAGCCACAAAUUCCAAACCCCUUGGAAAAAAGGUGGUGGGAAAAAACAAACAAACAAACAGAACUGCCACAGAUUAUCUCUCCUCCAGCCUGUGCAAAUAACAAAUGUCAGACCUAAUUAUCAAUAUCACUGUGGCCUGACAGCUGUGUGUACUUGAUCCUACUGCAUCCUGGAUAUGGAUUGAAAUGCCUUGAUUCAUUUAAAAAGGUUAAAUGGUACUAUCAGAAUUUAGAAUGGCCCAAUUACUAAACUUUAAAUAUUUGCUUCACCUGGUUUUGCAUCACACAAAUCCUGACUGAUUACGUUGAUUUUGCAAGUGUGUUUCUGCUGUUUCAUACAGGAAUUGUCCACACAAGGAAAUUUUACAAAGGGCAUGUUUAUUUCUAUUCUGCUUUUUCACAACAUAAAGCACUUGAUCUUAAUAUGCUCUGACCUGCAAAUGACUGAAAAUGAGAAAAUAAUGGUUCAUAAAUUCAUCAGUCAAGAGGUUGCCUGAAUUUAUCAUUGAUCCAUCCUGAGAUGUCAAGACAGGUCAGAAUUCAGGAAAAGAAAUGUGUAAAACAAUCAAACCCACACUUGAUGAUAAUUUUUGAUGGGUUGAUGUUAUUUGUUCAAUUUUCAUGAAGUCCCCAAGGGAGAGGGAUCAAACUGUGACCUUUUUGGAUUUUUCCACAUUGCAGAAGCCCUUCCUGAAAACAUCUGAGGCCUUGGAUAGCUGCAGGAUCCUGUACCUACAAAUCAUUUACUGCAGUGUCAAAAUGCACAACAGUCCACCUGGUAUUCACUUGGAGCAGAAGGCAUCAUUAGGGAAUUUCUGUCACCAUGAAGAAACUCAGGAAUUGACAGGAAGCAGAGGUUUUGUAAAAGCAGUCCUUGCACACCAGUCGGUGUCCUUGCACAGAUAAAUCAACCAACUGCUUCAAUAUCUGAUGUUCCCUUAAGCUACAGCAGCAGCUUCUAAAUUUUUCCUGUCCCAGUCCACUUGUUCUGUCUUAUUUUACAUCACUCUGUGAACUACCACAUGUUCUUGAUCCACUUGAUUGGUAAAAUAAGAGAUCAUGCAUAAAUUCUAUAAAAAAGGAAUACCUUUAUUUUUCUUUUUUUAAAGAGACUGUUUUUUCAUUACCAAGUGAAAACUUUACAAUGUAAAGUAUUUCUCUUCAGUAUUGUUUUAAUAUAAAAACUUAAAUCACUUACUCUGGUCUUACUGUUCCUACAGGAAGUCUUGUGGCACUGCAGGACCCCAGGUAUUUUCAGCCUCACUCUAGUAUCUAAUCAUAAGUUCAUGACUGUUAUUUUAAAUAAAACCAUUUCUGUGGCCACUCACCAUCAACAAAACAUUUCUACCACCAAAACAAAAAUAAAGCAUCUUCAUUAGACCAAAAGAGACCAAACUCUAACAGCACUAUUACAGUGAGAAGCUUUGUUAAAAUAAAAAUAUUUU
Oenanthe melanoleuca is the source of this 3522-nucleotide RNA transcript. It is a transcript of the gene named N-6 adenine-specific DNA methyltransferase 1, with no coding region annotated. The record is from RefSeq and is a predicted model, not a curated record. NCBI's taxonomy places the organism in Eukaryota, Metazoa, Chordata, Aves, Passeriformes, Muscicapidae. The transcript has 8 exons.